GUGGGGUAAUGGCUCACCAAGGCGACGAUCCGUAACUGGUCUGAGAGGAUGAUCAGUCACACUGGAACUGAGACACGGUCCAGACUCCUACGGGAGGCAGCAGUGGGGAAUAUUGGACAAUGGGCGAAAGCCUGAUCCAGCCAUGCCGCGUGUGUGAAGAAGGUCUUCGGAUUGUAAAGCACUUUAAGUUGGGAGGAAGGGCAGUAAGUUAAUACCUUGCUGUUUUGACGUUACCGACAGAAUAAGCACCGGCUAACUCUGUGCCAGCAGCCGCGGUAAUACAGAGGGUGCAAGCGUUAAUCGGAAUUACUGGGCGUAAAGCGCGCGUAGGUGGUUUGUUAAGUUGGAUGUGAAAGCCCCGGGCUCAACCUGGGAACUGCAUCCAAAACUGGCAAGCUAGAGUACGGUAGAGGGUGGUGGAAUUUCCUGUGUAGCGGUGAAAUGCGUAGAUAUAGGAAGGAACACCAGUGGCGAAGGCGACCACCUGGACUGAUACUGACACUGAGGUGC
Molecule: ribosomal RNA, 510 nt
Filed under: Pseudomonas sp. 120426_NH_C_B1
Lineage: Bacteria; Pseudomonadati; Pseudomonadota; Gammaproteobacteria; Pseudomonadales; Pseudomonadaceae
Description: bacterial SSU rRNA
Rfam family: Bacterial small subunit ribosomal RNA
Source: RNAcentral